Molecule: ribosomal RNA, 424 nt
Filed under: uncultured bacterium
Lineage: Bacteria
Also listed under: 2 other names
Description: bacterial SSU rRNA
Rfam family: Bacterial small subunit ribosomal RNA
Source: RNAcentral
UGAGGAAUAUUGGUCAAUGGGCGCAAGCCUGAACCAGCCAUCCCGCGUGAAGGAAGAAGGCGCUAUGCGUUGUAAACUUCUUUUCCAGGGGGAGAAUUUUUCCGUCGUGACGGGAAUUGACGGUACUCUGGGAAUAAGCAUCGGCUAACUCCGUGCCAGCAGCCGCGGUAAUACGGAGGAUGCGAGCGUUAUCCGGAUUUAUUGGGUUUAAAGGGUGCGUAGGCGGAUAGAUAAGUCAGUGGUGAAAUUCUGCAGCUUAACUGUAGACUUGCCGUUGAUACUGUCAGUCUUGAGUAUGGUCAAGGCAGGCGGAAUGUGUAAUGUAGCGGUGAAAUGCUUAGAUAUUACACAGAACACCGAUUGCGAAGGCAGCUUGCUGGGCCAUUACUGACGCUGAUGCACGAAAGCGUGGGGAUCGAACAGG